UACGUAGGGCGCAAGCGUUGUCCGGAAUUAUUGGGCGUAAAGAGCUCGUAGGCGGUUUGUCACGUCGGAUGUGAAAGCCCGGGGCUUAACCCCGGGUCUGCAUUCGAUACGGGCAGACUGGAGUGUGGUAGGGGAGAUCGGAAUUCCUGGUGUAGCGGUGAAAUGCGCAGAUAUCAGGAGGAACACCGGUGGCGAAGGCGGAUCUCUGGGCCUUACCUGACGCUGAGGCGCGAAAGCUAGGGGAGCGAACAGG
RNAcentral lists this ribosomal RNA (253 nucleotides) under uncultured bacterium. Its description in RNAcentral is "partial 16S ribosomal RNA". It matches the Rfam family "Bacterial small subunit ribosomal RNA", at positions 524 to 776 of the family's 1533-position model. The record is from RNAcentral.